AGGACACGGCUGGCGGCGUGCCUAACACAUGCAAGUCGAGCGGGGUAGCCGGAAGGUGUAGCGAUACAGCGGAGGGGGUACCUAGCGGCGAACGGGUGAGUAACGCGUGGGCAAUCUGCCCCGGGGGCGGGAUAACAGACCGAAAGGCCUGCUAAUACCGCAUGAAGCCGUCCUAUCGCAUGAUAAGACGGUAAAAGGGGAAACCCGCCUGGGGAGGAGCCCGCGUCCCAUUAGCUAGUUGGUGGUGUAAAGGACCACCAAGGCGAUGAUGGGUAGCCGGCCUGAGAGGGUGAACGGCCACAUUGGGACUGAGACACGGUCCAGACUCCUACGGGAGGCAGCAGUGGGGAAUUUUGGACAAUGGGCGCAAGCCUGAUCCAGCCAUUCCGCGUGCAGGAUGAAGGCCUUCGGGUUGUAAACUGCUUUUGUACGGAACGAAACGGUCUGCCCUAAUACGGCGGGCUAAUGACGGUACCGUAAGAAUAAGCACCGGCUAACUACGUG
This 504-nucleotide ribosomal RNA is filed under the name uncultured bacterium. RNAcentral's name for it is "bacterial SSU rRNA". It matches the Rfam family "Bacterial small subunit ribosomal RNA", at positions 35 to 507 of the family's 1533-position model. The record is from RNAcentral.